ACGGGGCCGCACAAGCGGUGGAGCAUGUGGUUUAAUUCGACGCAACGCGAAGAACCUUACCAGGGCUUGACAUCCCCUGACCGCGUAUGAAAGUACGUUUUCACCCUCGGGUGACAGGGAGACAGGUGGUGCAUGGUUGUCGUCAGCUCGUGUCGUGAGAUGUUGGGUUAAGUCCCGCAACGAGCGCAACCCUUAUUGCUAGUUACCAUCAUUGAGUUGGGGACUCUAGCGAGACUGCCAGCGAUAAGCUGGAGGAAGGUGGGGAUGACGUCAAAUCAUCAUGCCCCUUAUGACCUGGGCUACAAACGUGAUACAAUGGCUGGAACAAAGGGAGGCGAAGGGGUGACCUGGAGCGAAACCCAAAAAUACAGUCUCAGUUCGGAUUGAAGUCUGCAACUCGACUGCAUGAAGUUGGAAUCGCUAGUAAUCGUGGAUCAGCCAAGCCGCGGUGAAUACGUUCCCGGGCCUU
This 469-nucleotide ribosomal RNA is filed under the name uncultured Acholeplasma sp. RNAcentral describes it as "bacterial SSU rRNA". It matches the Rfam family "Bacterial small subunit ribosomal RNA", at positions 917 to 1381 of the family's 1533-position model. Lineage: Bacteria; Bacillati; Mycoplasmatota; Mollicutes; Acholeplasmatales; Acholeplasmataceae. The record is from RNAcentral.